UCGAACGCGAAGGAAGUCUUCGGACUUCUGGAGAGUGGCGCACGGGUGAGUAACACGUGGGUAAUCUGCCUUUGGGUGGGGAAUAACGGUCCGAAAGGGUCGCUAAUACCGCAUAACGCAGCGGCACCGCAUGGUGACAGUUGUUAAAGGGGGGGAUCGAAAGACCUCUCGCCUGAAGAGGAGCCCGCGUCCGAUUAGCUGGUUGGUGAGGUAAUGGCUCACCAAGGCAUCGAUCGGUAGCCGGCCUGAGAGGGCGGUCGGCCACACUGGCACUGAGACACGGGCCAGACUCCUACGGGAGGCAGCAGUGGGGAAUUUUGGGCAAUGGGCGCAAGCCUGACCCAGCAACGCCGCGUGAAGGAUGAAAUCCCUCUGGGAUGUAAACUUCGAAAGUCGGGAAAGAAAUCGCCAUGGAUAACACCCGUGGUGGAUGACGGUACCCGACGUAAGCCCCGGCUAACUACGUGCCAGCAGCCGCGGUAAUACGUAGGGGGCAAGCGUUGUUCGGAAUUACUGGGCGUAAAGGGCGCGUAGGCGGCAUGGCAAGUCGGGAGUGAAAGCCCGGGGCUCAACCCCGGAACUGCUUUCGAAACUGCCAAGCUAGAGUACGGAAGGGGCAACUGGAAUUCCCAGUGUAGCGGUGAAAUGCGUAGAUAUUGGGAAGAACACCGGAGGCGAAGGCGGGUUGCUGGGCCGAUACUGACGCUGAGGCGCGAAAGCCAGGGGAGCAAACGGGAUUAGAUACCCCGGUAGUCCUGGCCCUAAACGAUGGAUACUUGGUGUGUGGGGUUCUCAAAGUCCCCGCGUGCCGGAGCUAACGCGUUAAGUAUCCCGCCUGGGGGAGUACGGUCGCAAG
This 856-nucleotide ribosomal RNA is filed under the name uncultured bacterium. Its description in RNAcentral is "bacterial SSU rRNA". It matches the Rfam family "Bacterial small subunit ribosomal RNA", at positions 62 to 892 of the family's 1533-position model. The record is from RNAcentral.